GUAGCUCAGUGGUAGAGCAUCAGCUUCCCAAGCUGAGGGUCGCGGGUUCGAUCCCCGUUUCCCG
RNAcentral lists this transfer RNA (64 nucleotides) under Bacteroidota bacterium. Its description in RNAcentral is "Bacteroidetes bacterium (marine metagenome) tRNA-Gly". The stretch from base 2 to 58 matches the Rfam family "tRNA", at positions 8 to 63 of the family's 71-position model. Rfam says of the family: Transfer RNA (tRNA) molecules are approximately 80 nucleotides in length. Their secondary structure includes four short double-helical elements and three loops (D, anti-codon, and T loops). Lineage: Bacteria; Pseudomonadati; Bacteroidota. The record is from RNAcentral.